RNAcentral lists this ribosomal RNA (416 nucleotides) under uncultured prokaryote. RNAcentral's name for it is "bacterial SSU rRNA". It matches the Rfam family "Bacterial small subunit ribosomal RNA", at positions 505 to 918 of the family's 1533-position model. The record is from RNAcentral.
GUGUCAGCAGCCGCGGUAAUACGGAGGGAGCAAGCGUUGUUCGGAAUUACUGGGCGUAAAGGGCGCGUAGGCGGCAUCGCAAGUCAGAUGUGAAAACCACUGGCUCAACCGGUUGGAGUGCAUCUGAUACUGCCUUGCUUGAGUUCAGCAGAGGGGAGCGGAAUUCCCAGUGUAGCGGUGGAAUGCGUAGAUAUUGGGAAGAACACCGGUGGCGAAGGCGGCUCUCUGGACUGACACUGACGCUGAGGCGCGAAAGCUAGGGGAGCAAACAGGAUUAGAUACCCUGGUAGUCCUAGCCGUAAACGAUGGGUACUAGGUGUCGGGUGUUUCCAUACACACGGUGCCGAAGCUAACGCAUUAAGUACCCCGCCUGGGGAGUACGGCCGCAAGGUUGAAACUUAAAUGAAUUGACGGGG